GGCCAGCAUGAUCUAAGCCCAGAAAUGCACUGUCAGGACCGCAAGCCACCCUGUGCACGGGAUGGCUGUGACUGAGUCACAUCGUGUUUCCAUCUUACAAACUAAGGGGAGGAAACAACCUCUGUGUUCCAAGGUAGCAGAGGAGGCUUAAGGCCUGGCCCCAGAGCCAAGCUGCCUGAUGUAGACAGCGCCCUUGGCAUCUGGCUUCAUGCAGGUGGUCGACGUACAAAAGGAGUUGAUGGUCAGUAACCUACCCGCCACCCCCUGCCCCCUGCCUGGCACGUCCUAUGACCUAGCAUUGCUUGCAGCUGACAGGAUGAAGCAAAAUGAGCAGCCAAUUGUAAACUACUCUAACAGGAGAUUAGUAGUAACCUACCAUGACAGAAGGCUUUCAAAAGUCUUUGUUGAAUUUUGGGUUUGCAUCUCCAUUUUCAUCCCAUUUCAAUCAUUUGGACUUGAAUAAAUACACAGCCAAAAGCAACCCAGUGCAGUGGGUCUAUAAGGGAUUUGUUGAUCAGCAGAGCACAUUCCAUAGAAACAUUAAAAGCCCAGACAGGACCGAUCACAGACCUCGAUACAGCUGCUCGUGAUUUAAACCAGACAGCAAAACAGAAAGACACCAGCAUCACCAAACGGGAAAUAAAAUUCAGCAAAUGGUGUAAAACCAAAUGUGUAUCUACAUAGCAUGCUUCUCACGGGUGUACAUGCCCAAAUAAAGCCCUGCAUGGGUUGAUCAUCCACAAA
RNAcentral lists this long non-coding RNA (744 nucleotides) under Bos taurus (domestic cattle). RNAcentral describes it as "long non-coding RNA NONBTAT016377". The record is from RNAcentral. Lineage: Eukaryota; Metazoa; Chordata; Mammalia; Artiodactyla; Bovidae.